CCUACGGGUGGCUGCAGUGAGGAAUAUUGCUCAAUGGGCGCGAGCCUGACCCAGCCAAGUAGCGUGAAGGAUGACUGCCCUCCGGGUUGUAAACUUCUUUUAUAAAGGAAUAAAGUGAGGCACGUGUGCCUUUUUGUAUGUACUUUAUGAAUAAGGAUCGGCUAACUCCGUGCCAGCAGCCGCGGUACUACGGAGGGUACGAGCGUUAUCCGGAUUUAUUGGGUUUAAAGGGAGCGUAGAUGGGUUGUUAAGUCAGUUGUGAAAGUUUGCGGCUCAACCGUAAAAUUGCAAUUGAUACUGGCAGCCUUGAGUACAGUUGAGGUAGGCGGAAUUCGAGGUGUAGCGGUGAAAUGCUUAGAUAUCACGAAGAACUCCGAUGGCGAAGGCAGCUUACUAAACUGCCACUGACAUUGAUGUUCGAAAGUGUGGGUAGCAAACAGGAUUAGAUACCCUGGUAGUC
This 460-nucleotide ribosomal RNA is filed under the name uncultured bacterium. RNAcentral's name for it is "partial 16S ribosomal RNA". It matches the Rfam family "Bacterial small subunit ribosomal RNA", at positions 338 to 795 of the family's 1533-position model. The record is from RNAcentral.